CAACCCUCAAGCGCGGCUUGCGUGUUGGGCGCCGUCCCUGGUGGACGCGCCCGAAAGGCAGUGGCGGUACCGUGCUCCGGUGCCCGAGCGUAUGGGCUUCAAACCCGCUCUGGUGGCCCGGCCGGCGCUGGCCUCGACCCUCAACUUUACCA
Molecule: unclassified non-coding RNA, 152 nt
Filed under: [Chrysosporium] lobatum
Lineage: Eukaryota; Fungi; Ascomycota; Eurotiomycetes; Onygenales; Onygenaceae
Description: Chrysosporium lobatum partial internal transcribed spacer 2
Source: RNAcentral